GGGCCCGCACAAGCGGUGGAGUAUGUGGUUUAAUUCGAUGCAACGCGAAGAACCUUACCAGGGUUUGACAUCCUGCGAAUCUCUUGGAAACGAGAGAGUGCCUUCGGGAACGCAGUGACAGGUGGUGCAUGGCUGUCGUCAGCUCGUGUCGUGAGAUGUUGGGUUAAGUCCCGCAACGAGCGCAACCCACGUCUUUAGUUGCCAGCAUUUAGUUGGGCACUCUAGAGAGACCGCCGGUGACAAACCGGAGGAAGGUGUGGAUGACGUCAAGUCAUCAUGCCCCUUACGUCCUGGGCUACACACGUACUACAAUGCUACGGACAAAGGGCAGCAAGUUCGCGAGGACAAG
RNAcentral lists this ribosomal RNA (349 nucleotides) under uncultured bacterium. RNAcentral's name for it is "bacterial SSU rRNA". It matches the Rfam family "Bacterial small subunit ribosomal RNA", at positions 917 to 1267 of the family's 1533-position model. The record is from RNAcentral.